RNAcentral lists this ribosomal RNA (500 nucleotides) under uncultured bacterium. RNAcentral describes it as "bacterial SSU rRNA". It matches the Rfam family "Bacterial small subunit ribosomal RNA", at positions 24 to 507 of the family's 1533-position model. The record is from RNAcentral.
UCAGGAUGAACGCUGGCGGCGUGCCUAAUACAUGCAAGUCGAACGCACAGCGAAAGGUGCUUGCACUUUCAAGUGAGUGGCGAACGGGUGAGUAACACGUGGAUAACCUACCUCAAGGUUGGGGAUAACAUUUGGAAACAGAUGCUAAUACCGAAUAAAACUUAGUAUCGCAUGAUACCAGGUUAAAAGGCGCUACGGCGUCACCUAGAGAUGGAUCCGCGGUGCAUUAGUUAGUUGGUGGGGUAAAGGCUUACCAAGACAAUGAUGCAUAGCCGAGUUGAGAGACUGAUCGGCCACAUUGGGACUGAGACACGGCCCAAACUCCUACGGGAGGCUGCAGUAGGGAAUCUUCCACAAUGGGCGAAAGCCUGAUGGAGCAACGCCGCGUGUGUGAUGAAGGCUUUCGGGUCGUAAAGCACUGUUGUAUGGGAAGAACAGCUAGAGUAGGGAAUGACUUUAGUUUGACGGUACCAUACCAGAAAGGGACGGCUAAAUACGUG